CGGCAAUUGGAGGAAACUCUGACCGAGCAACGCCGCGUGAACGACGAAGUACUUUGGUAUGUAAAGUUCUUUUAUCAAGGAAGAAAAGCAAGUGGCGAACCAUUUGUUUGCCGGUACUUGAUGAAUAAGCCCCGGCUAAUUAUGUGCCAGCAGCCGCGGUAAGACAUAAGGGGCAAGUGUUAUCCGGAAUUAUUGGGCGUAAAGGGUGCGUAGGCGGUCUAGUAAGUCAGUGGUGUAAUGGCAACGCUCAACGUUGUCCGGCUAUUGAAACUGCUAAACUUGAGUUAGAUAGAGGCGAGUGGAAUUCCAUGUGUAGCGGUAAAAUGCGUAAAUAUAUGGAGGAACACCAGAGGCGUAGGCGGCUCGCUGGGUCUUAACUGACGCUGAGGCACGAAAGCGUGGGGAGCAAACAGGAUUAGAUACCCUGGUAGUCCACGCCGUAAACGAUGAGUACUAAGUGUCGGGUUAAACCGGUACUGAAGUUAACACAUUAAGUACUCCGCCUGAGUAGUACGUACGCAAGUAUGAAACUUAAAGGAAUUGACGGGACUCCGCACAAGCGGUGGAUCAUGUUGUUUAAUUCGAAGAUACCCGAAAAACCUUACCAGGUCUUGACAUGUUUUUGCGAAACGGUAGUAAUAUCGUAGAGGUUAUCAGAAACACAGGUGGUGCAUGGUUGUCGUCAGCUCGUGUCGUGAGAUGUUAGGUUAAGUCCUAAAACGAGCGAAACCCUUAUCGUUAGUUGCCAGCACGUUAUGGUGGGGACUUUAACGAGACUGCCAGUGAUAAACUGGAGGAAGGUGAGGAUCACGUCAAAUCAGCAUGCCCCUUAUGACCUGGGCUACAAACGUGAUACAAUGGC
This 862-nucleotide ribosomal RNA is filed under the name 'Phoenix dactylifera' phytoplasma (Sudan). RNAcentral describes it as "bacterial SSU rRNA". It matches the Rfam family "Bacterial small subunit ribosomal RNA", at positions 366 to 1234 of the family's 1533-position model. Lineage: Bacteria; Bacillati; Mycoplasmatota; Mollicutes; Acholeplasmatales; Acholeplasmataceae. The record is from RNAcentral.